AGGAACUGUGUGUCCCAUUCAUUGUGUCUUGAGUACCUGAGGAUGACAAGCUUGUGAAUUAAAGGAUCCUGAGAGAAACAGGAAAUAAUGAUAGAAAGUGAGACGGAAGAGAGGUUAUUAACCAUUAGAAGGCCGCUUGAAAAUAAAAACUGAACAGUAUCCAAUGAGAAAGGCCGGAAUCAGGACUGAUGUACUGAUGCAUCUUGGCAUUUAUUCUCUCAGAGUCUUCAGUACUCCUAGGUCAAGUGGCUGAGAAGGUGGACUUAAACUCUUUAUGUGACCUCCAUUGUCAGAAGGACAGAACUUUCAAGCCGGCUGAUUCAUUCCUCCCACGCCCGGAACCUGGCCCUAGAAGGAUUUGCAGCGUUCAGAUGCAGGCACAGCAGGAGCCCACACUCAUCUUGAGGGCCCUUGAGGGAGACUAUGCCCAGAAGCCCCAUCCACAGAGUCCCACUAAGGGCUGUGGUUUCUCUCUGAUUUCACAUGGCUGACUGGAUCUCAGCAUUUCAGGAACCAACCUUUUACAGCGAGUGAUUUUCUUCACUAAACUCAAGACUGGCAAGCUCCUCUCUCUGUCUCUUUCUCUGCCUCUCUCGUCUGUCUCUGUCACUCUUGUGUGUGUGUGUGUGUGUGUGUGUGUCCGUGCACACAUACUCCUCUUCAUUUCUAGCAGUAUCUUAUUGCCUUAGUGAAGAGUGCAGUGAAGCAGAAAACAGAUUCAGGAAGUGACAGACGACACAAGCAUUUGUCCAAUUAGCAAUGAGAAAAUCAUAAGCACCGGUGGUGACCACUCAUGUUGAACAGCCAGCUCAGCAAAGAGCCUUGCUCCACAUCUCUCCCAUGUAAUUAGAACCAUUCAAGCCACGACUGACCAGCUUUUCCCUGCAUUUUUAGUAUAUUGCAGAGCCUGCACUCUCUUGGACGUUAAUGAGGAACAUGAAGCCAUCAAUAGUUUUGAUUAAGCCAAAGACUAUUGCACUAUUUAGAUGUACCAUAUUUCAUCCAUUCUAAGACAUGCCUUUUUCCUCCCACGUUUUAACAUCUUUCAAAUCAAAAUGUGCCUCAGAAUCAAGGCAAUCAUGGUAUAGUUGUCAUUGCCUCUGCAUGGCAAACUUGGUCACAGCUGUUUAUAUUGUCAUCUGAAUUUCAGCUGAGUUCAAUAUGUGGUUGCAAGGACGGGUGUUGAGGUUCAAUGCCAUUUAAAAGUCUCUCAAAAGAUUAUCCUACAUUUUGGCAUUCAAAUAAUGAGCUAUUGUGUGUGCAUAAAGAAACAGAGGAGUGGGGUGUAAAUUGACAUUUGUGAAGCAAAUAUUUGUUGUUAUAGGAACAACUGCAAUUCCAUACUUUCUCCCAAAGCAACAACCAACUGCUUUCAAGACCUAAAAAAAGAAGAAAUCCACGAGAAAUGAAGCAGUUAUAUUUGCCCCACACCAACAAUGCAACUGAAAGCAGUAGUAACAGCAGAAUCCCUUGGAAGAGACAAAAGAAAUUUCAGAGUAGCAAAGGGCUAGUGUUACAGAUGCAAGGGCCACAUACAACUACUUCUAGGACAUUAUGUCAGAGUUUCAAACCACUUUUUUAAUCUUAGAAGUUCAUAAAAUAAUGGUGAUUCUUAUACUGUGUGGUUUCUUAGGUCUGAUGAAAUCUAGUAUGUCCAGAAUAACUUUCAACCAAUAAAACCCACAGCUACCCAUUAAAGUGCUUGAGAAUUUGUAAAGGGUCAGUCUACAUCCAAGAAACGGUAGCCACUUUCAGACUUGGAUUUGAAACAGAGCUAGGCCUCAGUACCCAAAGGCAUCACCCACCCUAUCGCAGAUGUCAUCAGUUGCCAUCUCAUACCCUAUUUCCCCUGCUAACAGAACCCUGAGUUGAUUCAAGGAUUAGGGAGACUUGUACUUCAGAGGAGACCUGGUUCUCCUCUACCCCAGAGAAUUUUCAUUAACCAAUCACAACAUGAUGGUCUCUUCUCUUUCCCAUUGGUUAUUUUAGGGGUGGCAUGUAAUACAGUUUCGGCCAAUGAGAUAUGAAGGAAGGGAAGAGGGAGGGUGGGAUCUUAAAAACAAAGAUGCAUGAGAAGGAAAAAAUAAGGUGUCUUUUCCAUCGCUGGGCUUGGUGAUGCCUGGAACUACUGCAGCCAUCUUGCAACCAUGAGGAAGCAACUGAGAGACAAAGACACACACUGAAGAUGACAGAGACAGAAGAUGGAGACGGCAUAAAUCCUUGAUGACAUCACUGAACUACUUUCUUAAGCAAGACUAAAGACUGGUUUCUGUCUAGUUUCACUGCUUAUAUGGGAUAUUAAACAUCUUUAUUAUUCAAUCCACUGUCAGUAGUUGAACCUUCUAUCACUUGCACCCAAAGUCACAUAAUUGAUCCACCCCUACUUCCCUACUACUGCCAUGAUACCUCCCUCCCUUCUACACUUCUUGAAAUAUGAAUAACAGCUUAAAGCAACACAUAUUUAUUAUUGCACAGCUUCUGAGAGUCAAGAGGCCAAGAAAGGCCUACUGGGUCCACUGCAAAGCUGAAAUCAAGGUGUCAGUCAGAGGUGGGUUAUCAUCUAGAGGCUCGACUGGAGAAGUUUCCCCUUCCAAUUUCCCUCAGGCUGAUGGCAGAAUUUGUUUCCUUGUGGCUAUAAAAUUAAUGACAGCUUGCUUCUUCAAAGCCAGCAUUGGAGAUAGCAAGACAGUCUGUUAGGGACAUGGAAUCUUAUAUAAUUGUGGGAGUGACAUCACCUUUGCCACAUAGUGUAAUUCUAUUGUAUUCUAUUGGCUAGAACUAAGUCACAGGACUCACCUAUACUCAAGGGAAGAGAAUUACACAGGGACAUGAACACCAGAAGGCAGAGGUCACAAAGUCAUCUUAGAGUCUGUCCAACUUACACGGUUAGUUAGUGGCUCUCAUGGAACUGGAGACCAGUUCUAUCUUAUCCCAAUAUCCAUUCUCUUUUAGUUUAACUAUGAAGUGUCAAAAAUAUAAGAAUACGUUUCUAAAAAUGUAGAGUCUUCUGAAAAUAGAAUAUACUGAUGCGGAGGUCUUAAAUUCUCUGUUACUAGAGAUGGCUAUGCUUAAGCUGGACCAUCACUUGAGGCAGAUGUGGCUGAGGGGUUUACCUUUAGCAAGAGUAUCAUGGGGCAAGAUAGGGAAAGGAAGUUGUUGAGUUAGGUGACUUUCAAGGCGCUUCAACCUCGCGCUUCUGAUUCUUUUAGGCACAUCAUGGAAUCACAGAAUGUUAGGGUUGGAAGGACUCUUUGAGAUGAAGACCCUGCACUUUACAGAUGAGGAAACUGAGGUAUAGAGAAGUCAAUGCUUGCUUCAGUCUCACUGAAAGUUGCUGGUGAUAGAAACUGAAUAGACUUAAUACCUGUCUUCAAGAAGCUUAUAAUAUAACAGGGAGAAUGCAGUAAAAAUAAAACAUAAUACACAAUACACAAGUCCUAUGAUGAAAUUAUAUUUAAGAUACCCCAUAAAGCCAGAUAAAGAAAGAAACGUCAGGAACAAGACAAGUUGUGGGGGCAGAUGAGCGGGUUCGAUUCAUACUAGUGGACACUGAGUACUUAAGGGACAUCCAGGUGAUGAUGUCUGGUACAGGGCUUCUCAAACCUUAAUGUUCACACAAACUUACCUAGAGACUGUUCAAAUGCAGCUUCUGACUCAGCAGGCCUGUGGUGGAGCCUGGGGUUCUGUAUUUCAAACAAGCUCCCAGGUGAUACAGAUGCUACUUAUCCUCAAAGCAUAAUCUGAGUGGCAAGACUGAAAAGGCAGUUGUAUAAUCAGAUCUCAGUUGUGUGAUCUUCAUUCCUCUCCCCCUCAUUCCAUUGUCCACUCUCUGAAUAGGGACAAGACUGGAGGAGAGACACUGAAGGAAGUUCCAUACAGGAGCACCUUCACCAGAAGGCCUUGUAACUAGCCACGUUACCUGGGAAGGGAAGAUGCCUUCUAGUUACUGCAAAGAACCCAUCCACCAUUUCUUACCUUCAACUCACAUUUGCUAACCCUCCUUUGUGAAGGAGUACAAAAAUGAAUGACUUAGCCCAACACUGCAACUAUUUAAUAAUGCAGAUCAUUGGGGCACCUGGGUGGCUCAGUUGGUUAAGCGGCCGACUUCGGCUCAGG
Lynx canadensis (Canada lynx) is the source of this 4116-nucleotide long non-coding RNA. RefSeq lists it as uncharacterized. The transcript has 3 exons. The record is from RefSeq and is a predicted model, not a curated record. Lineage: Eukaryota; Metazoa; Chordata; Mammalia; Carnivora; Felidae.